GGCCAGGAGGUGGGGGAACCGAAGACACUGGUGUAACCUAUGUGCUCAGUCUUUCUAUAUACCAUAUCCUGGUACGCCUGCUAGUAAAAGACUACACCAGGCAAGAAGAACAGCGGAUCCUCACGUCCUGCCUAAGGACCAUGCAGAAACCCCGGACGUCCCGUCGCCUUCUCGGCUGAGAGCGCUGGAUCAGUUCGUGUUGAGAAAUAGGAGGGGAAAUGUGGAAAUGUUUAUGAAUCCUGGUUGCCACCAGAUUUGCUGCUUCUGGAUUUUCCAGAUGCCUGAGUCAACAGUUUCUACUGACUCUGAGACUCCCAGGGUUCCUCCCAGGAAGCCAAGGCUGAGUUUAGACACUGGCUGGAGCCUUUCUGGAAGUGAGUUUUCCCUGAUGGCUUCAGUGAAGGAGAAGGUCUGCCCUUGUUUCAUAUUGGCCCAGCUCAUCGUGCCAGGUUGGGAAUGCAUCAGUGAGCAGGGUCUAUGCCAUUUGUCCUAUGCUGCUUGGAGUCUGGCAAGGGAACUUACCAUCAAGUGUGGUGGAUAAGUUGGGAAGUGAUAUGAAGAAAGUCGCGUGGGCACAGGGACAGAGGGCAUAUGGAGAGUUGUGUGUGUUUGAAAUUCUCUGCUGUGAGUGGGAUUGGUGUUUGUACAGUGAUUUCACCCUACUUGCUACUAGGUAAGGAUGGGUUCAGUAAGGAGAUUCUUGAAAGGUCACUGUUAUUGGAUAAGUCUGUCUGUUUUGCUGUCCAGGAAAUUCAUAUUGUCCUAUUUGGGGUUUUAAAAUAUGUAUCCCUCAAUGAAGUUUGUGAACUCUGCAGGUAACGCCAAGAGAAAGUACUGGCAGGGUCCCAUUUUAAUUCAGUUCAAUAGACAAAAAUCAAAAUAAAUCAAAUGUGAAGGCAGCAUAUGUGGUCUAUGACUGUCUUUGGCUUCUGGGUUCUGAGCAGCCCGUCACUGUAGAGAAAAGGCUUCUGAACUAGGAAAUCGGCAUUCAUACUACAGAUGGUUCUUCAUCGUCACAGAUGUGAUCACCAAAGUUUCUUCAAAUAUUCACCCCUUUUGGGUAAUAAAUAUCUGUUCUUAUCUUCAAAAGUUAGAUUGACACAUCGGUUUUAAGAAACCACCAGUGCCCAGGGCCUGAUUCUGUAUUUGUCCUCAUGCUGCACAUGAUCAUCUUAUAAAAUUUGAAAGUGCGCUCGCUCUA
Sciurus carolinensis (gray squirrel) is the source of this 1201-nucleotide long non-coding RNA. RefSeq lists it as uncharacterized. The record is from RefSeq and is a predicted model, not a curated record. The transcript has 3 exons. Lineage: Eukaryota; Metazoa; Chordata; Mammalia; Rodentia; Sciuridae.